RNAcentral lists this ribosomal RNA (288 nucleotides) under Escherichia coli. Its description in RNAcentral is "partial 23S ribosomal RNA". It matches the Rfam family "Bacterial large subunit ribosomal RNA", at positions 970 to 1259 of the family's 2925-position model. Lineage: Bacteria; Pseudomonadati; Pseudomonadota; Gammaproteobacteria; Enterobacterales; Enterobacteriaceae. The record is from RNAcentral.
GAUAUCAUCGGCAGUCAGACUGCGAGUGCUAAGAUCCGUAGUCGAAAGGGAAACAGCCCAGACCACCAGCUAAGGUCCCAAAAUAACUGUUAAGUGGAAAAGGAUGUGGGGUUGCACAGACAACUAGGAUGUUAGCUUAGAAGCAGCUAUUCAUUCAAAGAGUGCGUAAUAGCUCACUAGUCGAGUGACCCUGCGCCGAAAAUGUACCGGGGCUAAAACAGUUUACCGAAGCUGUGGAUGACACAAAAGUGUCAUGGUAGGAGAGCGUUCUAUGUGUGAAGAAGGUGU